RNAcentral lists this ribosomal RNA (1112 nucleotides) under Nostoc sp. SV1-VF6. RNAcentral's name for it is "bacterial SSU rRNA". It matches the Rfam family "Bacterial small subunit ribosomal RNA", at positions 356 to 1481 of the family's 1533-position model. The record is from RNAcentral. Lineage: Bacteria; Bacillati; Cyanobacteriota; Cyanophyceae; Nostocales; Nostocaceae.
GGGGAAUUUUCCGCAAUGGGCGAAAGCCUGACGGAGCAAUACCGCGUGAGGGAGGAAGGCUCUUGGGUCGUAAACCUCUUUUCUCAGGGAAGAACACAAUGACGGUACCUGAGGAAUAAGCAUCGGCUAACUCCGUGCCAGCAGCCGCGGUAAUACGGAGGAUGCAAGCGUUAUCCGGAAUGAUUGGGCGUAAAGCGUCCGCAGGUGGCGAUGUAAGUCUGCUGUUAAAGAGUGAGGCUCAACCUCAUAAGAGCAGUGGAAACUACAUAGCUAGAGUACGUUCGGGGCAGAGGGAAUUCCUGGUGUAGCGGUGAAAUGCGUAGAGAUCAGGAAGAACACCAGUGGCGAAGGCGCUCUGCUAGGCCGUAACUGACACUGAGGGACGAAAGCUAGGGGAGCGAAUGGGAUUAGAUACCCCAGUAGUCCUAGCCGUAAACGAUGGAUACUAAGCGUGGCUUGUAUCGACCCGAGCCGUGCCGUAGCUAACGCGUUAAGUAUCCCGCCUGGGGAGUACGCCGGCAACGGUGAAACUCAAAGGAAUUGACGGGGGCCCGCACAAGCGGUGGAGUAUGUGGUUUAAUUCGAUGCAACGCGAAGAACCUUACCAAGGCUUGACAUGUCGCGAAUCUUCUUGAAAAGGAAGAGUGCCUUCGGGAGCGCGAACACAGGUGGUGCAUGGCUGUCGUCAACUCGUGUCGUGAGAUGUUGGGUUAAGUCCCGCAACGAGCGCAACCCUCGUUUUUAGUUGCCAGCGUUAAGUUGGGCACUCUAAAGAGACUGCCGGUGACAAACCGGAGGAAGGUGGGGAUGACGUCAAGUCAGCAUGCCCCUUACGCCUUGGGCUACACACGUACUACAAUGCUCCGGACAGAGGGCAGCAAGCUAGCGAUGGCAAGCAAAUCCCGUAAACCGGAGCUCAGUUCAGAUCGCAGGCUGCAACUCGCCUGCGUGAAGGAGGAAUCGUUAGUAAUUGCAGGUCAGCAUACUGCAGUGAAUUCGUUCCCGGGCCUUGUACACACCGCCCGUCACACCAUGGAAGGUGGUAGUGCCCGAAGUCAUUACUCCAACCCUUAGGGGGGGAGGAUGCCUAAGGCAGGACUGGUGACUGGGGU